CAGUAGCCGCGGUAAUACAGAGGGUGCGAGCGUUAAUCGGAUUUACUGGGCGUAAAGCGUGCGUAGGCGGCUUCUUAAGUCGGAUGUGAAAUCCCUGAGCUUAACUUAGGAAUUGCAUUCGAUACUGGGUAGCUAGAGUAUGGGAGAGGAUGGUAGAAUUCCAGGUGUAGCGGUGAAAUGCGUAGAGAUCUGGAGGAAUACCGAUGGCGAAGGCAGCCAUCUGGCCUAAUACUGACGCUGAGGUACGAAAGCAUGGGGAGCAAACAGGAUUAGAGACCCCGGUAGUCCCUGUCUCUUAUAC
This 301-nucleotide ribosomal RNA is filed under the name uncultured bacterium. Its description in RNAcentral is "partial 16S ribosomal RNA". It matches the Rfam family "Bacterial small subunit ribosomal RNA", at positions 509 to 807 of the family's 1533-position model. The record is from RNAcentral.